This 954-nucleotide ribosomal RNA is filed under the name uncultured cyanobacterium. RNAcentral's name for it is "bacterial SSU rRNA". It matches the Rfam family "Bacterial small subunit ribosomal RNA", at positions 375 to 1343 of the family's 1533-position model. Lineage: Bacteria; Bacillati; Cyanobacteriota. The record is from RNAcentral.
GCGAAGCCUGACGGAGCAAUACCGCGUGAGGGAGGAAGGCUCUUGGGUUGUAAACCUCUUUUCUCAGGGAAGAAAAAAAUGACGGUACCUGAGGAAUAAGCAUCGGCUAACUCCGUGCCAGCAGCCGCGGUAAUACGGAGGAUGCAAGCGUUAUCCGGAAUGAUUGGGCGUAAAGGGUCCGCAGGUGGCCAUGUAAGUCUGCUGUUAAAGAAUGAGGCUUAACCUCAUCAGAGCGGUGGAAACUACAGAGCUAGAGUGCGGUCGGGGUAGAGGGAAUUCCUGGUGUAGCGGUGAAAUGCGUAGAUAUCAGGAAGAACACCAGUGGCGAAAGCGCUCCUUACUAGACCAUAACUGACACUGAGGGACGAAAGCUAGGGGAGCGAAUGGGAUUAGAUACCCCAGUAGUCCUAGCCGUAAACGAUGGAUACUAGGCGUGGCUUGUAUCGACCCGAGCCGUGCCGGAGCUAACGCGUUAAGUAUCCCGCCUGGGGAGUACGCACGCAAGUGUGAAACUCAAAGGAAUUGACGGGGGCCCGCACAAGCGGUGGAGUAUGUGGUUUAAUUCGAUGCAACGCGAAGAACCUUACCAAGACUUGACAUGUCGCGAAUCCUACCGAAAGGUGGGAGUGCCUUCGGGAGCGCGAACACAGGUGGUGCAUGGCCGUCGUCAGCUCGUGUCGUGAGAUGUUGGGUUAAGUCCCGUAACGAGCGCAACCCUCGUUUUUAGUUGCCAGCAUUAAGAUGGGCACUCUAGAGAGACUGCCGGUGACAAACCGGAGGAAGGUGGGGAUGACGUCAAGUCAGCAUGCCCCUUACGUCUUGGGCUACACACGUACUACAAUGCUACGGACAAAGGGCAGCGACACAGCGAUGUGAAGCAAAUCUCAUAAACCGUAGCUCAGUUCAGAUCGCAGGCUGCAACUCGCCUGCGUGAAGUAGGAAUCGCUAGUAAUG